This 492-nucleotide ribosomal RNA is filed under the name uncultured bacterium. RNAcentral's name for it is "partial 16S ribosomal RNA". It matches the Rfam family "Bacterial small subunit ribosomal RNA", at positions 29 to 507 of the family's 1533-position model. The record is from RNAcentral.
AGUGAACGCUGGCGGUAGGCCUAACACAUGCAAGUCGAACGGCAGCACAGUAAGAGCUUGCUCUUACGGGUGGCGAGUGGCGGACGGGUGAGGAAUACAUCGGAAUCUACUUUUUCGUGGGGGAUAACGUAGGGAAACUUACGCUAAUACCGCAUACGACCUACGGGUGAAAGCAGGGGAUCUUCGGACCUUGCGCGAUUGAAUGAGCCGAUGUCGGAUUAGCUAGUUGGCGGGGUAAAGGCCCACCAAGGCGACGAUCCGUAGCUGGUCUGAGAGGAUGAUCAGCCACACUGGAACUGAGACACGGUCCAGACUCCUACGGGAGGUAGCAGUGGGGAAUAUUGGACAAUGGGCGCAAGCCUGAUCCAGCCAGACCGCGUGGGUGAAGAAGGCCUUCGGGUUGUAAAGCCCUUUUGUUGGGAAAGAAAAGCAGCAGGUUAAUACCCCGCUGUUCUGACGGUACCCAAAGAAUAAGCACCGGCUAACUUCGUG